RNAcentral lists this ribosomal RNA (470 nucleotides) under Nocardia amamiensis. RNAcentral's name for it is "bacterial SSU rRNA". It matches the Rfam family "Bacterial small subunit ribosomal RNA", at positions 28 to 515 of the family's 1533-position model. The record is from RNAcentral. Lineage: Bacteria; Bacillati; Actinomycetota; Actinomycetes; Mycobacteriales; Nocardiaceae.
GACGAACGCUGGCGGCGUGCUUAACACAUGCAAGUCGAGCGGUAAGGCCCUUCGGGGUACACGAGCGGCGAACGGGUGAGUAACACGUGGGUGAUCUGCCUCGCACUUCGGGAUAAGCCUGGGAAACUGGGUCUAAUACCGGAUAUGACCACGGAUCGCAUGGUUUGUGGUGGAAAGGUUUACUGGUGCGAGAUGGGCCCGCGGCCUAUCAGCUUGUUGGUGGGGUAAUGGCCUACCAAGGCGACGACGGGUAGCCGGCCUGAGAGGGCGACCGGCCACACUGGGACUGAGACACGGCCCAGACUCCUACGGGAGGCAGCAGUGGGGAAUAUUGCACAAUGGGCGAAAGCCUGAUGCAGCGACGCCGCGUGAGGGAUGACGGCCUUCGGGUUGUAAACCUCUUUCGACAGGGACGAAGCGGAAGUGACGGUACCUGUAGAAGAAGCACCGGCCAACUACGUGCCAGCAGC